CUUGCAUCAUUGUAAAGAUGAUGCAAGAUCGACUAUGUCGAAUAAAAUUCUAGGUAGAAUUAUGAUAAUGACAUUGUCUGCCUAUGUGUCUUGACCAAAUUACGUGCCAGCAGUCGCGGUAAUACGUAGAAGACUAGUGUUAUUCAUGUUUAAUCGGUUUAAAGGGUACCUAGACAGUAAAUCAAGCUUUCAAAAAAAGAAAAGGACUAAUUUGCUAGAGUUACUUAUGAGGGGGUUUUAAAGUACUGAUGGUGUAGAGAUGAAAUUCUGUCAUACCUCUUUUCAAAAGAAAAAUUGAUGGCACAGGUAUAGGCGAAGGCAUCCCCUUAUGUGAUAACUGACGUUGAGGGACGAAGGCUUAUACAGCGAACAGGAUUAGAUACCCCAGUAGUCUAAGCAGAAAAUGAUGAAUGUCAUAGAUUAGAUAUAUAAGUUUAUUCUAUAAAUGAAAGUGUAAGCAUUCCACCUCAUGAGUAAUUUGGCAACAUUGGAACUGAAAUCAUUAGACCGUUUCUGAAACCAG
This 523-nucleotide ribosomal RNA is filed under the name Parmelina pastillifera. Its description in RNAcentral is "SSU rRNA". It matches the Rfam family "Bacterial small subunit ribosomal RNA", at positions 388 to 929 of the family's 1533-position model. Lineage: Eukaryota; Fungi; Ascomycota; Lecanoromycetes; Lecanorales; Parmeliaceae. The record is from RNAcentral.